Molecule: transfer RNA, 72 nt
Filed under: Neotoma lepida (desert woodrat)
Lineage: Eukaryota; Metazoa; Chordata; Mammalia; Rodentia; Cricetidae
Rfam family: tRNA
About the family: Transfer RNA (tRNA) molecules are approximately 80 nucleotides in length. Their secondary structure includes four short double-helical elements and three loops (D, anti-codon, and T loops).
Source: Rfam by way of RNAcentral
GGAGAGANGGCUCAGUGGUUAGAGCAUUUGUUUUUCUUACAGAGGACCUGGGUUCGAUUCCCAGUACCUACA